GAUGAACGCUGGCGGCGUGCCUAAUACAUGCAAGUCGAGCGAACAGACGAGGAGCUUGCUCCACUGACGUUAGCGGCGGACGGGUGAGUAACACGUGGAUAACCUACCUAUAAGACUGGGAUAACUUCGGGAAACCGGAGCUAAUACCGGAUAAUAUAUUGAACAGCAUGGUUCAAUAGUGAAAGACGGUUUUGCUGUCACUGAUAGAUGGAUCCGCGCCGCAUUAGCUAGUUGGUAAGGUAACGGCUUACCAAGGCGACGAUGCGUAGCCGCCCUGAGAGGGUGAUCGGCCACACUGGAACUGAGACACGGUCCAGACUCCUACGGGAGGCAGCAGUAGGGAAUCUUCCGCAAUGGGCGAAAGCCUGACGGAGCAACGCCGCGUGAGUGAUGAAGGUCUUCGGAUCGUAAAACUCUGUUAUUAGGGAAGAACAAAUGUGUAAGUAACUAUGCACGUCUUGACGGUACCUAAUCAGAAAGCCACGGCUAACUACGUG
This 497-nucleotide ribosomal RNA is filed under the name uncultured bacterium. RNAcentral's name for it is "partial 16S ribosomal RNA". It matches the Rfam family "Bacterial small subunit ribosomal RNA", at positions 28 to 507 of the family's 1533-position model. The record is from RNAcentral.